Molecule: long non-coding RNA, 536 nt
Filed under: Mytilus galloprovincialis (Mediterranean mussel)
Lineage: Eukaryota; Metazoa; Mollusca; Bivalvia; Mytilida; Mytilidae
Source: RNAcentral
GUUUGCACAUAAGGUAAACUAUGUUUGCACAUAGGGUAAACGAUGUUUGCACAUAGGGGGAACGAUGUUUGCACAUAAGGUAAACGAGGUUUGCACAAAACGUAUAAGUUGUUUGCACAUAAUGUAAAAGGCAUUUGCACAUGACGUAAUGAAUGCUCACAGAGAAGUAUCAAUUGUUCGGCAAAACGCAUAGGAACUAUACCAUGAUGUGUUGUGUUUUUCACUGGAGAUACAUAUGUAUAAACACAACAUAACGCCAAAAGACUAUAAUAUCAUGAGGUUUACAUAGAACAAAGGUGUAUCAAAACAAAACCUUUAGAACAUUCGGCAUAACAAUCACAUUUGAGACAGGACACAAUUUUUAACUGACUUACGUAAAUAAAGGCAACAGUAGUAUACCGCUGUUCAAAACUCAUAAAUCCAUGGACAAAAAACAAAAUCGGGGUAACAAACCAAAACCGAAAAACGCAUUAAAUAUAAGAGGAGAACAACGACACAACACCGAAACGCAACACACACAGAAACAGACACAACAU